Molecule: long non-coding RNA, 214 nt
Organism: Sphaeramia orbicularis (orbiculate cardinalfish)
Lineage: Eukaryota; Metazoa; Chordata; Actinopteri; Kurtiformes; Apogonidae
Exons: 3
Source: RefSeq, a predicted model, not a curated record
GGAAGAGUACAAGUGGAGCCCACAGAUGAAUAUACGUGUGAGUAUGACUCCACCUGGGACCACGAAGACCAGCAGAACCCACCGGACAGGACCAGCCCCAGGUCAAGGUCCAGAUCUUACAAGUUUAGGAGAUUUGAAGAUGCUGCAAGAGACAUGCAGAACUACAGGCAUGACUACCACAUUCAAACCGCGGCGUUGGGGAAGUGAAGCACCU